GUAAACCCCUCCUCCCUCCGGGUGCCCCUGGGUUGCCCACCACUGCUCCCAGACCUCCUAACAGCAUCUUACCAUCAUUCUGCUUCCAUCGUACAAUUUACCAUCAACUCAGGCACCUGGAUAUCCAGGUGGACAAGGCCUCUACCCUGCGGGCCCUCGCUCCCGUCCUUCCUUCCCUGCCCUGUCCACACAUCGCCUGCCUUGUGCCACCCGCGCUCUCUGUCUUCUCCUGCUCUCCGAUCACCCCUUCCUCCCCUGAGACCUUGUCCCCUUUAUUCCACUGACUCUGGAGCCUUGCUAGCCCCCAUUCUCUCCAUGUGGCCCACGCCCACAGCUCCUUCACGGCCUUGUGUCCUUCCCCUUACUCCAGGGCCUGGAACUUCAGCCACUCUUCUGACAUUGCUCUAAACCGACGGCCUACGAAUUGAUCUCAUAAUUGCACGUCCAACGCUUGAAACAAGAAAUACAACCGACUGCCCCUCUCUGACAUCCCUUCCUCCCUUUCUUCCUUCCUUUUUUUUUUUUUUUAAGAUUUAUUUAUUUACUUAUGAUAGACACAGAGAGAGAGAGGCAGAGACACAGGCAGAGGGAGAAGCAGGCUCCAUGCAGGGAGCCCAACGUGGGACUCGAUCCCGGGUCUCCAGGGUCGUGCCCUAGGCCAAAGGCAGGCACUAAACCGCUGAGCCACCCAGGGAUCCGUUCUUCCUUCCUUAGGAAAUUGCAUACAUUUUACUACUGGACUGACAUGUCUUCAUUUUAAAACAUUCCACAAAAAAUAGGAAGGCACAAAUGGCAAGAUCUCCAACGACCAAUGGAGUGAGGGCGUCCGCGCUGUCUGCGCAUUCCCGGAGGAAAGCGGGACAUGGCCCCCCAGGUGUGCACACCCCCGUUCGGGAGCCACCGUCCGAGCCCUGUCGCCCUCCGUCACAUCCACCCCGCCAACCAAACCUGAGCCCACCUCGUCGCAAGUGUCCCCGCGGCUGUGGACGACGGAGCCCCGGGGCCCUCCCCAGGCUUAGCCUCUCUCCUGGCAGGGGGGCGCUGAGGGCCUCGCAGGCUUGGAGCAGCCGGGGCUCAGAGCCCCACUGUAGCACCAUUUCCUUCACACUCCCCCUCAGGGAACGACUCCCGAGCUGUCAGAAGGAAGAGAUAGACAGGAGAGUGACAAAUUUUAAAGGAACGGCCUGGUGGAUGCGAUCUGGGGGGCGGCGGGAUCUAGGCCUGCCUGCUCCAGGAAGCACUGAGCAGAGGUGCUGGCCAGAGCCGGGAGAUGUGCUGGUGACCGAACUGGCCUCCUGUUAGGGAACCCUUCCCUGUCCCUUGCAUGCCACCUGCCACCUGGAGAACGAUUCGUCCCCAGGUAAGCAGGGUCUUAAGAAGGCCACAUGACAACUCCUAUACUUUCUCAGGGGGAUAAAGAUGAUUCGGGCAAAAUUCCCUCCCUGCCUGAAAGUCCUUCCAUCUUCUGUUGCCCCCCCUACCUAGACUGAUGUUUGGUCACCAGGUGUCCAUGGACUGACCCCUACAUCAGAGUCACAGGCCUAUGAGGAAUGCAGAUUCCUGGGCCUGGGGCAGAUCGAGUCAGAAACUCUCAAACUAGAGCCAGAGAACCUGCAUGGCUUUGCCCAUGGAAGUUUGAGGACCACUGAACCUUCUCCUCUGUCCUUCCCAACCAUGCACCCUCAAUCCCCACCCCCUCGCCACUGUAUUCCUCAGGCCCUCAUCAUGAAGCCCAUGGACACACAAAUGGAAGGGCCCAGGCAGGAAUAAAACCCACUGGGCUUUCA
Molecule: long non-coding RNA, 1787 nt
Filed under: Vulpes vulpes (red fox)
Lineage: Eukaryota; Metazoa; Chordata; Mammalia; Carnivora; Canidae
Description: lncRNA (ENSVVUG00000000819.1)
Source: RNAcentral